Molecule: ribosomal RNA, 254 nt
Filed under: uncultured bacterium
Lineage: Bacteria
Description: partial 16S ribosomal RNA
Rfam family: Bacterial small subunit ribosomal RNA
Source: RNAcentral
UACGGAGGGUGCAAGCGUUGUCCGGAUUUAUUGGGUUUAAAGGGUGCGUAGGCGGCCCGUUAAGUCAGUGGUGAAAUCCCCGGGCUCAACCCUGGAACUGCCUUCGAUACUGGCGAUCUUCGAGUCCGGGAGAGGUGAGUGGAACUCCGAGUGUAGAGGUGAAAUUCGUAGAUAUUCGGAAGAACACCAGUGGCGAAGGCGGCUCACUGGCCCGGUACUGACGCUGAGGUGCGAAAGCGUGGGGAGCAAACAGG